Molecule: RNA transcript, 3397 nt
Organism: Hypanus sabinus (Atlantic stingray)
Lineage: Eukaryota; Metazoa; Chordata; Chondrichthyes; Myliobatiformes; Dasyatidae
Gene: srrt
Gene name: serrate RNA effector molecule homolog (Arabidopsis)
Exons: 22
Source: RefSeq, a predicted model, not a curated record
GUGCGGCGCGGGGUUUGUUCUUGCCGCUAUUGGCGGCGCGUCGUGCAGCGGGCUUUGAAAGAGCUCGGUGGACAAGUGAAAGCGGCGGUACUGAGAGGUUUUGGUUAUUUCAGUUGGAGGAUUGCGUUAUUGCCGGUCACCGGCCGCUCGCCCGGGUCAGCAGCAGCGUGCCAGAACCUCGGCUCCAGUAGAUCACCGUGUGAAGGAGCAGGGUCAUGGGUGACAGCGAUGAUGAGUACGACCGGCGGCGCAGGGACAAGUUCCGCCGCGAAAGGAGCGACUACGACCGUUCCCGGGAGAGAGACGACAGGCGGCGGGAUGAUUGGAAUGAUAGAGAGUGGGACCGGGGGAGAGAGCGGCGAAGUCGAGAGUAUCGAGACUAUGACCGAGGGAGAAGGGAGCGUUUCUCUCCACCGAGGCAUGACCUCAGCCCUCCCCAGAAGCGAGUGCGCCGGGAUUGGGAGGAUCACGUUGCGGACCCCUACCACACAGGCUAUGAAAUGCCGUAUACUGGUGGGGGAGGUCCCAGCUAUGGCCCCCCGCAGCCCUGGGGGCACCCGGAUAUUCACAUGAUGCAGCAACACCAUGGGAUUCCCAUCCAGGCCAGUCUUCUUCCCACCCCCAGGUUGGGCAACCUGCACGAGAUGGAGGUGGGUCCUCCACCCCCAGUGAUGAAGACCUUCAAGGAGUUCCUGCUGUCCCUGGAUGACUCUGUUGAUGAGACCGAAUCUGUGAAGCGCUACAAUGACUACAAGAUUGAGUUCCGCCGUCAGCAGAUGCAGGACUUCUUCCUGGCCCACAAGGAUGAGGAAUGGUUCCGCUCUAAAUACCACCCGGAUGAGGCUGGGAAGCGGAAGCAGGAGGCUGACUUUGGCCUUCGCACGCGGCUCAGUGUUUACUGUUACCUGAUGGAGCACGGCUGGUUUGAUGGCCUCUCACUUGACAUUGAUAAGGCCAACAUCAUCAUGAAAGCGUUAGAUGCAGCUGUUAUAAAGAUGGAAGGUGGAACACAAAUUGAUGUAAAAAUUCUAGACCUUGAAGAUGAAGAGGAAAAGACAGACAAAAUGGAGCCUGUGAAGAAGGAGGAGGGGAGGGUCUUAGAUAAUGACAGGAAGGCAGUGGAUAAAGAGAAGGAAGAAGAUGCCAAAAAGGCAGAAGUUGGUGAGCAGACAGGCGAUGCAAAGAUGCAACAGGACAAGGAGGACGGAAAAUCCAAGGAACUGUGCGAUGAGGAGAAGGGCGAGGAUGGGGAAGACAAGGGUGAUACUGCCCAGAGAGAACCAGCCAAGGACAGCUCUGUGCCUGCGAAGGCUGCGAAGAAGCGCAAGAGGAAGCAUAGUGGAGAUGACAGCUAUGAUGAGGAUGAUGCCACUGCCUCCGACUCAGAGUCUGAGCCAGAAAUUGUGCCGCCAGGUGUUGAAAGAAAGGAUGAGGAAGACCCAGGGAAGCAAAAGGAAGAUGAUGAGAAGAUCCAGAAAGAAGAUGAACCGAAGCAGGAGAAGAAGGAGGAAGAAAAGCUCAAAGAAAAACCCAAGGAGGAGAAGAAGGAGACAGAUGUUACUCCGAAGCCCCGGCCACUUCACAAAACCUGUUCAUUGUUCAUGAGGAGCAUUGCUCCAAACAUCUCCAAGGCUGAAAUCAUAUCGCUUUGUAAGCGUUUUCCUGGCUUCAUGAGAGUGGCAUUGUCUGACCCACAACCAGAGCGCAGGUUCUUCCGGAGAGCCUGGGUUACCUUCGAUCGAAGCGUCAACAUCAAGGAAAUCUGCUGGAAUCUCCAGAAUAUCAGACUACGAGACUGCGAGUUGAGCCCAGUGGUGAACCGAGACCUGGCCAGACGUGUCCGCAGCAUCAAUGGCAUCACGCAACACAAGCAGAUCGUACGCAAUGACAUCAAGUUGGCUGCUAAACUCAUCCACUCGCUGGAUGACCGCUCACAGCUCUGGUCAUCAGAAACCGUGAAUGAGGAUGGGAGAGUUGAGAGCCUGUCUUCCCAGAACCCCAUCCUAAAAAACAUCACCGAUUACCUGAUAGAGGAGGUGAGUGCAGAGGAAGAAGAGUUAUUGGGAAAUCCCACUGACACAACUGACGAUGGACCAAAGGAGGGAAAUCCAGAGGUCAACAUCGAGAGAGAUGAGAAGCUGAUUAAGGUUCUAGACAAGCUGCUGCUCUACCUGCGCAUCGUGCAUUCCAUCGAUUACUACAACACCUGUGAAUAUCCAAACGAAGAUGAAAUGCCCAAUCGGUGUGGGAUUGUACACGUGCGCGGACCUCUGCCCCUUAACCGAGUCUCACAGCAUGAAGUGGUGGAGUGGCAGAAGAUGUUUGAGGAGAAAUUGACGCCUCUGUUUAGUGUGAGGGAAAGUCUUUCCGAGGAAGAGGCAUCGAAGAUGGGCAAGAAAGAUCCUGAGCAGGAAGUGGAGAAGUUUAUCGUUGCUAAUACACAGGAACUUGCCAAGGACAAAUGGCUGUGUCCUCUGAGUGGAAAGAAGUUCAAGGGCCCAGAGUUUGUGCGCAAGCACAUCUUCAACAAGCACAGUGAAAAGAUUGAAGAGGUUAAAAAGGAAGUUGCGUUCUUCAAUCACUUCCUGAUGGAUGCUAAGCGACCUGCUCUUCCGGAGAUGAAACCCAAUCAGCCCCCUGCACCAGGAGCCCAGGCAAUGGGUUUGACUCCAGCCAUGGGUUACCCUCAUCCUUCUCCUCAAGGCCUGCUGGGAUUUGGUCAGCCACGUCCCCCUGUCAUGGGAUAUGGAGCGGGGCCUGCCUACCCCCCUCCACAGUAUGCCGGGCGGGGAUCCUACGAUGCAUAUCGAGGACAAGGAGGAUAUCCCGGAAAACCAAGAAACAGCAAUCCCAAAAGCUAUUGGUUUGGCACAGUAGUUCUGUGCCAUCGAAGUCAAUCCUAUGGCCAAUGCGAAUGCGAUGCUACCACCAAUUACUCCGGGUAACCCAAUGAAUACACCUCCUUGAUGUGGGUUUCUGGCCGACGUACGCUGCUCCACAUUCAUGGGGAGUCCUGUAAACACCAACCAUCCUGAGUCCCAGAUCCUCUUUGACCCACAUAAGGAUUUUGCGGGGGGAUCCCAGAAACAUUGUGGAGUACAGAGACCUGGAUGCCCCAGAGGAUGUGGACUUCUUCUGAGCUGCCCCAAUAUGUCCAGCACAGUGUUCAUUAUCGUUCCCUUGGGGGCAGAGGGAACUUGGUGUAGCAAUUGGAACAUUUUGUUGAGGCAGGCGCAAUUGCUAUAAAGUAGUUUUGUUUUCUCUGAAAACAUGACAGACACAUGUUCUCAUUCUGGCACGUCUUCUUUCUUUUACACACACAGCACUGUACAUGAGCGUGCAUACAUGUAAUUUGUCAUUUGGAAAUGUUUGAAAUAAAAAGAAUUGUGAAAUUUGA